AUUGAACGCUGGCGGCAGGCUUAAUACAUGCAAGUCGAGCGGGGUGAUGGUGCUUGCACUAUCACUUAGCGGCGGACGGGUGGGUAAUGCUUAGGAAUCUGCCUAUUAGUGGGGGACAACAUCUCGAAAGGGAUGCUAAUACCGCAUACGUCCUACGGGAGAAAGCAGGGGAUCACUUGUGACCUUGCGCUAAUAGAUGAGCCUAAGUCGGAUUAGCUAGUUGGUGGGGUAAAGGCCUACCAAGGCGACGAUCUGUAGCGGGUCUGAGAGGAUGAUCCGCCACACUGGGACUGAGACACGGCCCAGACUCCUACGGGAGGCAGCAGUGAGGAAUAUUGGACAAUGGGGGGAACCCUGAUCCAGCCAUGCCGCGUGUGUGAAGAAGGCCUUAUGGUUGUAAAGCACUUUAAGCGAGGAGGAGGCUCUUUUGGUUAAUACCCAAGAUGAGUGGACGUUACUCGCAGAAUAAGCACCGGCUAACUCUGUGCCAGCCGCCGCCGUAA
This 503-nucleotide ribosomal RNA is filed under the name uncultured bacterium. RNAcentral's name for it is "partial 16S ribosomal RNA". It matches the Rfam family "Bacterial small subunit ribosomal RNA", at positions 30 to 523 of the family's 1533-position model. The record is from RNAcentral.